GAUGAACGCUGGCGGCGUGCCUAAUACAUGCAAGUCGAGCGAACAGACGAGGAGCUUGCUCCUCUGACGUUAGCGGCGGACGGGUGAGUAACACGUGGAUAACCUACCUAUAAGACUGGGAUAACUUCGGGAAACCGGAGCUAAUACCGGAUAAUAUAUUGAACCGCAUGGUUCAAUAGUGAAAGACGGUUUUGCUGUCACUUAUAGAUGGAUCCGCGCCGCAUUAGCUAGUUGGUAAGGUAACGGCUUACCAAGGCAACGAUGCGUAGCCGACCUGAGAGGGAUCGGCCACACUGGAACUGAGACACGGUCCAGACUCCUACGGGAGGCAGCAGUAGGGAAUCUUCCGCAAUGGGCGAAAGCCUGACGGAGCAACGCCGCGUGAGUGAUGAAGGUCUUCGGAUCGUAAAACUCUGUUAUUAGGGAAGAACAAAUGUGUAAGUAACUAUGCACGUCUUGACGGUACCUAAUCAGAAAGCCACGGCUAACUACGUG
RNAcentral lists this ribosomal RNA (495 nucleotides) under uncultured bacterium. RNAcentral's name for it is "partial 16S ribosomal RNA". It matches the Rfam family "Bacterial small subunit ribosomal RNA", at positions 28 to 507 of the family's 1533-position model. The record is from RNAcentral.